This is a long non-coding RNA of Priapulus caudatus, 212 nucleotides long. RefSeq lists it as uncharacterized. NCBI's taxonomy places the organism in Eukaryota, Metazoa, Priapulida, Priapulimorpha, Priapulimorphida, Priapulidae. The transcript is spliced from 3 exons. The record is from RefSeq and is a predicted model, not a curated record.
CGGAUCCGAUUCCUUUUCUACCAAGGAGACGCAUCACGACAAGGACGGCAGCGAAGGGGAGGCUGAAGACGACGACUGGGACAGCUUCAACGUGAAGAAGCGCAAGGAGACGUUGGAGACGAAGUCGCGAUGCUCACACAGCGUGCACUGUCCGCACUUCCCCGAGGACAAGCAGGAGUGGUGGUGCCUGUACGUGGCGAACUGGCGGCACC